AGCUAAGGUGAGGCCGAAAGGCGUAGCCGAUGCACAGACGGUAGAGAUUCCGUCCCCACCGAAAGAUUUAAGCACAGGGACACUUUUUGAAGGUCGGAGCCAGGUGUUGGUUCUGGUAGUGAUCGAGGGAAAUAUAGUACCGAAGUCCGGCUGGAAGAGAGGCGAGAAAAGCUGUGUGUAUAUCUAAGGUGCCCGUACCGCAAACCGACACAGGUAGGUAGGAAGAAGAUUCUAAGGCCAACGGGAGAAGGGUUGUUAAGGAACUCGGCAAAUUGACCCCGUAACUUCGGGAGAAGGGGUGCUCCAGAGAUGGAGCCGCAGAGAAUCGGCCCAAGCAACUGUUUACCAAAAACACAGGUUUGUGCUAAAUCGAAAGAUGACGUAUACGAGCUGACGCCUGCCCGGUGCUGGAAGGUUAAAAGGAGAUGUGCAAGCAUUGAAUUGAAGCCCCAGUGAACGGCGGCCGUAACUAUAACGGUCCUAAGGUAGCGAAAUUCCUUGUCAGGUAAGUUCUGACCCGCAUGAAAGGCGUAAUGAUUUGGGCACUGUCUCAACAGCCCGCCCGGCGAAAUUGUAGUACCGGUGAAGAUGCCGGUUACCCGCGACAAGACGGAAAGACCCCAUGGAGCUUUACUGUAGCCUGAUAUUGGGUUUCGGUGUUGCAUGCACAGGAUAGAUGGGACGCUAGGAAACUGGUGCUUUGGCGCUGGCGGAGCGGACGUUGGGAUACCAUCCUUGCGACAUUGGAAUUCUAACCUGCGCCUCUGAAUCGAGGCGGGGGACAUUGUCAGGUGGGCAGUUUGACUGGGGCGGUCGCCUCCUAAAAAGUAGCGGAGGCGUUCAAAGGUUCGUUCGAUCUGGACGGAAACCAGAUGAUUGAGUGCAAACGCAUAAACGAGCCUGACUGCGAGACUGACGGGUCGAGCAGAGACGAAAGUCGGAGUUAGUGAUCCGGUGGUAUGUGAGUGGAAAUGCCAUCGCUCAACGGAUAAAAGUUACCCUGGGGAUAACAGGCUGAUCUCCCCCAAGAGUCCACAUCGACGGGGAGGUUUGGCACCUCGAUGUCGGCUCAUCGCAUCCUGGGGCUGAAUUCGGUCCCAAGGGUUUGGCUGUUCGCCAAUUAAAGCGGUACGCGAGCUGGGUUCAGAACGUCGUGAGACAGUUCGGUCCCUAUCUGUCGUGGGCGCAGGAUAUUUGAAAGGCGCUGUCCCUAGUACGAGAGGACCGGGAUGGACGAACCUCUGGUGCACCAGUUGUCACGCCAGUGGCACAGCUGGGCAGCUAUGUUCGGAUCGGAUAAACGCUGAAAGCAUCUAAGCGUGAAGCCGGCCUUAAGAUAAGAUAUCCCACUGAGUCAAUCAGGUAAGACCCCUUGAAGACUACAAGGUUGAUAGGCACACAGUGUAAGCGGAGUGAUCCGUUCAGCUAGCGUGUACUAAUAGGUCGAGGGCUUGACCC
Molecule: ribosomal RNA, 1458 nt
Filed under: human gut metagenome
Description: bacterial LSU rRNA
Rfam family: Bacterial large subunit ribosomal RNA
Source: RNAcentral